Molecule: ribosomal RNA, 521 nt
Filed under: uncultured bacterium
Lineage: Bacteria
Description: bacterial SSU rRNA
Rfam family: Archaeal small subunit ribosomal RNA
Source: RNAcentral
AACCUCCGCAAUGUGAGAAAUCGCGACGGGGGGAUCCCAAGUGCCAUUCUUAACGGGAUGGCUUUUCAUUAGUGUAAAGAGCUUUUGGAAUAAGAGCUGGGCAAGACCGGUGCCAGCCGCCGCGGUAACACCGGCAGCUCUAGUGGUAACAAUUUUUAUUGGGCCUAAAGCGUCCGUAGCCGGUUUAAUAAGUCUCUGGUGAAAUCCUGUAGCUUAACUGUGGGAAUUGCUGGAGAUACUAUUAGACUUGAGACCGGGAGAGGUUAGAGGUACUCCCAGGGUAGAGGCGAAAUUCUGUAAUCCUGGGAGGACCGCCUGUUGCGAAGGCGUCUAACUGGAACGGUUCUGACGGUGAGGGACGAAAGUUAGGGGCGCGAACCGGAUUAGAUACCCGGGUAGUCCUAACCGUAAACGAUGCGGACUUGGUGUUGGGGUGGCUUUGAGCUGCUCCAGUGCCGAAGGGAAGCUGUUAAGUCCGCCGCCUGGGAAGUACGGUCGCAAGACUGAAACUUAAAGGAAGU